Juglans microcarpa x Juglans regia is the source of this 194-nucleotide long non-coding RNA. RefSeq lists it as uncharacterized. Lineage: Eukaryota; Viridiplantae; Streptophyta; Magnoliopsida; Fagales; Juglandaceae. The transcript has 3 exons. The record is from RefSeq and is a predicted model, not a curated record.
UCAAAAAUGGCCGCGGCUUUCCCAAUAAUUCGUGCUAGCUGGGCUUCAUUAGUACUAGUGGCGCCUUAUCUUUCUUGUAUAUAUAGUUUGUGUAUAAACUUCAUGUACUAAUUAAGCAUGCAUGUCCUCCUUCUCUUGUAUCACUCAUCGUAUCUUGCUUUUCAGUGAUAAUAUAAAUACUUACGUUGUGUCAA